GACGAACGCUGGCGGCGUGCUUAACACAUGCAAGUCGAACGAAGUGGCGCACGGGUGAGUAACGCGUAAUCAACCUGCCCUUCAGAGGGGGACAACAGUUGGAAACGACUGCUAAUACCGCAUACUGAAGGUGGGGAUUGCGUCUGAUUAGCUAGUUGGGGGGGUAACGGCCGACAAAGGGGAGGAUCAGUAGCCGGUCUGAGGGGAUGAACGGCAACAUUGGGACUGGGACACGGCCCAGACUCCUACGGGAGGCAGCAGUGGGGAAUCGUCCGCAAUGGACGAAAGUCUGACGGAGCAACGCCGCGUGAGUGAUGACGGCCUUCGGGGUGGAAAGCUCUGUUAAUCGGGACGCGGUACCGGAAGAGAAAGCCACGGCUAACUACGUGCCAGCAGCCGCGGUAAUAC
This 408-nucleotide ribosomal RNA is filed under the name uncultured bacterium. RNAcentral's name for it is "partial 16S ribosomal RNA". It matches the Rfam family "Bacterial small subunit ribosomal RNA", at positions 28 to 526 of the family's 1533-position model. The record is from RNAcentral.